GGAGGGAUGGCCGAGUCCGGUUGAUGGCGGCGGUCUUGAAAACCGUUAGAGCGCAAGCUCUCGGGGGUUCGAAUCCCUCUCCCUCCGCCA
Molecule: transfer RNA, 90 nt
Filed under: Candidatus Dormiibacterota bacterium
Lineage: Bacteria; Bacillati; Candidatus Dormiibacterota
Description: tRNA-Ser
Rfam family: tRNA
About the family: Transfer RNA (tRNA) molecules are approximately 80 nucleotides in length. Their secondary structure includes four short double-helical elements and three loops (D, anti-codon, and T loops).
Source: RNAcentral